RNAcentral lists this ribosomal RNA (547 nucleotides) under uncultured archaeon. RNAcentral's name for it is "bacterial SSU rRNA". It matches the Rfam family "Archaeal small subunit ribosomal RNA", at positions 325 to 873 of the family's 1478-position model. The record is from RNAcentral.
ACGGGGUGCAGCAGGCGCGAAAACUUUGCAAUGUGCGCAAGCACGACAAGGUUAAUCCGAGUGGUUUCUGCUAAAGGAACCUUUUGUUAGUCAUAGAACCACUAAUGAAUAAGGGGUGGGCAAGUUCUGGUGUCAGCCGCCGCGGUAAAACCAGCACCUCAAGUGGUCAGGAUGAUUAUUGGGCCUAAAGCAUCCGUAGCCUGCUUUGCCAGUUUUCGGUUAAAUCCAUACGCUCAACGUAUGGGCUGCCGGGAAUACUACAAAGCUAGGGAGUGGGAGAGGUAGACGGUACUCGGUAGGAAGGGGUAAAAUCCUUUGAUCUAUUGAUGACCACCUGUGGCGAAGGCGGUCUACCAGAACACGUCCGACGGUGAGGGAUGAAAGCUGGGGGAGCAAACCGGAUUAGAUACCCGGGUAGUCCCAGCUGUAAACUAUGCAAACUAGGUGAUGCAUUGGCUUGAUGCCAAUGCAGUGCCUCAGGGAAGCCGUUAAGUUUGCCGCCUGGGAAGUACGUACGCAAGUAUGAAACUUAAAGGAAUUGGCGGGG